Molecule: ribosomal RNA, 514 nt
Filed under: uncultured bacterium
Lineage: Bacteria
Description: bacterial SSU rRNA
Rfam family: Bacterial small subunit ribosomal RNA
Source: RNAcentral
AUUAUGGCUCAGGAUGAACGCUAGCUACAGGCUUAACACAUGCAAGUCGAGGGGCAGCAUGGAGUUUGCUUGCAAACUCUGAUGGCGACCGGCGCACGGGUGAGUAACGCGUAUCCAACCUUCCCUAUAGUAGAGGAUAGCCCGGCGAAAGUCGGAUUAAUACUCUAUGUUUUCCGUUGCAGACAUCUAAGAUGGAACAAAGGCUUGCCGCUAUAGGAUGGGGAUGCGUCUGAUUAGGUAGUCGGCGGGGUAACGGCCCACCGAGCCAUCGAUCAGUAGGGGUUCUGAGAGGAAGGUCCCCCACAUUGGAACUGAGACACGGUCCAAACUCCUACGGGAGGCAGCAGUGAGGAAUAUUGGUCAAUGGACGAGAGUCUGAACCAGCCAAGUAGCGUGCAAGGACGACGGCCCUAUGGGUUGUAAACUGCUUUUAUGCGGGGAUAAAGUUCACUACGUGUAGUGUUCUGUAGGUACCGCAUGAAUAAGGACCGGCUAAUUCCGUGCCAGCAGCAGC